GCGGUUGUGGCGGAACCGGUAGACGCACAGCAUUGAGGGUGCUGUUCCUAGUCAAUCAGGAGUGGAAGUUCGAGUCUUCUCAGCCGCA
RNAcentral lists this transfer RNA (88 nucleotides) under Orientia chuto str. Dubai. RNAcentral's name for it is "Orientia chuto str. Fuller tRNA". It matches the Rfam family "tRNA". From Rfam's summary of the family: Transfer RNA (tRNA) molecules are approximately 80 nucleotides in length. Lineage: Bacteria; Pseudomonadati; Pseudomonadota; Alphaproteobacteria; Rickettsiales; Rickettsiaceae. The record is from Rfam by way of RNAcentral.